This 735-nucleotide ribosomal RNA is filed under the name uncultured bacterium. Its description in RNAcentral is "bacterial SSU rRNA". It matches the Rfam family "Bacterial small subunit ribosomal RNA", at positions 777 to 1533 of the family's 1533-position model. The record is from RNAcentral.
AUUAGAUACCCUGGUAGUCCACGCCCUAAACGAUGUUAACUAGUUGUUGGGAAGUAAUAUUCUCAGUAACGCAGCCAACGCGAGAAGUUAACCGCCUGGGAAGUACGGUCGCAAGACUAAAACUCAAAGGAAUUGACGGGGACCCGCACAAGCGGUGGAUGAUGUGGAUUAAUUCGAUGCAACGCGAAAAACCUUACCUACCCUUGACAUGUCAGGAAGCUCUUGUAAUGAGAGUGUGCCCGCAAGGGAGCCUGAACACAGGUGCUGCAUGGCUGUCGUCAGCUCGUGUCGUGAGGUGUUGGGUUAAGUCCCGCAACGAGCGCAACCCUUGUCACUAGUUGCUACGAAAGGGCACUCUAGUGAGACUGCCGGUGACAAACCGGAGGAAGGUGGGGAUGACGUCAAGUCCUCAUGGCCCUUAUGGGUAGGGCUUCACACGUCAUACAAUGGUCGGAACAGAGGGCAGCGAAGUCGUGAGACGGAGCCAAUCCCAGAAAACCGAUCGUAGUCCGGAUUGCAGUCUGCAACUCGACUGCAUGAAGUCGGAAUCGCUAGUAAUCGCGGAUCAGCAUGCCGCGGUGAAUACGUUCCCGGGUCUUGUACACACCGCCCGUCAAACAAUGGGAGUGGUGUUUACCAGAAGUCGUUAGCCUAACCGCAAGGAGGGCGGCGACCACGGUGAGCACCGUGACUAAUGUUAAGUCGUAACAAGGUAACAAGGGCGAAUUCGCGGCC